RNAcentral lists this ribosomal RNA (900 nucleotides) under uncultured Bacillota bacterium. Its description in RNAcentral is "bacterial SSU rRNA". It matches the Rfam family "Bacterial small subunit ribosomal RNA", at positions 18 to 917 of the family's 1533-position model. The record is from RNAcentral. Lineage: Bacteria; Bacillati; Bacillota.
UCUGGCUCAGGAUGAACGCUGGCGGCGUGCUUAACACAUGCAAGUCGAACGGAGGUGUACGCUGAAGAAGCUUCGGCAGAUUCUUGUGCACCUUAGUGGCGGACGAGUGAGUAACGCGUGGGUAACCUGCCCUGUACAGGGGGAUAACACUUAGAAAUAGGUGCUAAGACCGCAUAAGCGCACAGUACCGCAUGGUACAGUGUGAAAAGCUCCGGUGGUACAGGAUGGACCCGCGUCUGAUUAGCUGGUUGGAGGGGUAACGGCCCACCAAGGCGACGAUCAGUAGCCGGCCUGAGAGGGUGAACGGCCACAUUGGGACUGAGACACGGCCCAAACUCCUACGGGAGGCAGCAGUGGGGAAUAUUGCACAAUGGGGGAAACCCUGAUGCAGCGACGCCGCGUGAGUGAAGAAGUAUUUCGGUAUGUAAAGCUCUAUCAGCAGGGAAGAUGAUGACGGUACCUGAGUAAGAAGCCCCGGCUAACUACGUGCCAGCAGCCGCGGUAAUACGUAGGGGGCAAGCGUUAUCCGGAUUUACUGGGUGUAAAGGGAGCGUAGACGGCAUGGCAAGUCUGAAGUGAAAGCCCGGGGCUCAACCGCGGGACUGCUUUGGAAACUGUUAAGCUGGAGUGCAGGAGAGGUAAGUGGAAUUCCUAGUGUAGCGGUGAAAUGCGUAGAUAUUAGGAGGAACACCAGUGGCGAAGGCGGCUUACUGGACUGUAACUGACGUUGAGGCUCGAAAGCGUGGGGAGCAAACAGGAUUAGAUACCCUGGUAGUCCACGCCGUAAGCGAUGAAUACUAGGUGUCGGGGGUUUAUGAACCUUCGGUGCCGCAGCAAACGCAAUAAGUAUUCCACCUGGGGAGUACGUUCGCAAGAAUGCAACUCAAAUGAAUUGACGGA